GCCCCGAUAGCUCAAUGGAUAGAGCGGCGCUCUCCUAAGGCGCAAAUGGAGGUUCGAUUCCUUCUCGGGGCA
Molecule: transfer RNA, 72 nt
Filed under: Elusimicrobiota bacterium
Lineage: Bacteria; Pseudomonadati; Elusimicrobiota
Description: Elusimicrobia bacterium (groundwater metagenome) tRNA-Arg
Rfam family: tRNA
About the family: Transfer RNA (tRNA) molecules are approximately 80 nucleotides in length. Their secondary structure includes four short double-helical elements and three loops (D, anti-codon, and T loops).
Source: RNAcentral